Molecule: transfer RNA, 71 nt
Filed under: Marmota monax (woodchuck)
Lineage: Eukaryota; Metazoa; Chordata; Mammalia; Rodentia; Sciuridae
Description: tRNA.Ala
Source: RNAcentral
GCUGGGGUGGGUCAGGGAUAGAGUGCUCACCUAGCAUGUGUGAGGUCCUGGGUUCGAUCCUCAGCACCACA